CUCACCUGUCCGUGUCCCUGUCCCGGCUCCGCGCCGAGGCCGCGGCUCUGCGGGGGCGGCUGCAGGGGACACACCUGGGGACACGCCCGGACAGGUGUGACCCCUCCCCCCCCUCGGGGGGCGUGGCCGCCGCGCGCAGAGACCUGGCCCAGGUGAGCCACGCCCUGGGCGGGGCCACGGAGCGGCUGGAGAGGAUCCUGGCACACCUGGGGCAGGAUUUGGGGCCCCGCCCC
Long non-coding RNA from Passer montanus (Eurasian tree sparrow), 233 nucleotides. RefSeq lists it as uncharacterized. Lineage: Eukaryota; Metazoa; Chordata; Aves; Passeriformes; Passeridae. The transcript has 3 exons. The record is from RefSeq and is a predicted model, not a curated record.